AAUCAACGCUGGCGGCGUGCCUAACACAUGCAAGUCGAGCGAGAAAAGGGGAGCAAUCUCCUGAGUAAAGCGGCGCACGGGUGAGUAACACGUGGGUAAUCUGCCUUGGAGUGGGGAAUAACACCGGGAAACCGGUGCUAAUACCGCAUACGAUGACGAGAUCUGCGGAUUUUGUCAUGAAAGGAGCAAUUCGCUCCAAGAGGAGCCCGCGGCUGAUUAGCUAGUUGGUGAGGUAAUGGCUCACCAAGGCAACGAUCAGUAGCCGGUCUGAGAGGACGGUCGGCCACACUGGAACUGAGACACGGUCCAGACUCCUACGGAGGCAGCAGUGGGGAAUUUUUGGCAAUGGGCGAACGCCUGACCAAGCAACGCCGCGUGGAUGAUGAAGUAUCUCGGUACGUAAAAUCCUUUCGACAGGGACGAAAGCCGCAAGGUUUGACGGUACCUGUAGAAGAAGCCCCGGCUAACUCCGUGCCAGCCGCCGCCGUAAC
RNAcentral lists this ribosomal RNA (491 nucleotides) under uncultured bacterium. RNAcentral describes it as "bacterial SSU rRNA". It matches the Rfam family "Bacterial small subunit ribosomal RNA", at positions 32 to 524 of the family's 1533-position model. The record is from RNAcentral.